GACCGACUACGCAAAUUGGCAAAGCGAUCAGGUCGAGAGCCUGAUGAUUCUGUGGGUUCGACUCCCAUGUCGGUCA
This 76-nucleotide transfer RNA is filed under the name Planctomycetaceae bacterium. RNAcentral describes it as "tRNA-Leu". It matches the Rfam family "tRNA". From Rfam's summary of the family: Transfer RNA (tRNA) molecules are approximately 80 nucleotides in length. Their secondary structure includes four short double-helical elements and three loops (D, anti-codon, and T loops). Further hydrogen bonds mediate the characteristic L-shaped molecular structure. tRNAs have two regions of fundamental functional importance: the anti-codon, which is responsible for specific mRNA codon recognition, and the 3' end, to which the tRNAs corresponding amino acid is attached (by aminoacyl-tRNA synthetases). tRNAs cope with the degeneracy of the genetic code in two manners: having more than one tRNA (with a specific anti-codon) for a particular amino acid; and 'wobble' base-pairing, i.e. permitting non-standard base-pairing at the 3rd anti-codon position. The record is from RNAcentral. Lineage: Bacteria; Pseudomonadati; Planctomycetota; Planctomycetia; Planctomycetales; Planctomycetaceae.